GACGAACGCUGGCGGCGUGCCUAACACAUGCAAGUCGAGCGGGGAUGGGCUGGGCAGCUUGCUGUUUGGCCUAUCCUAGCGGCGGACGGGUGAGUAACGCGUGAGCAACCAACCUUGUACUGGGGGAUAACAGCUGGAAACAGCUGCUAAUACCGCAUAAGACUACGGCACCGCAUGGUGCUGUAGUAAAAGGCGCCUUAAGGCGUCGGUACAAGACGGGCUCGCGUCCCAUUAGCUAGUUGGUGAGGUAACGGCUCACCAAGGCGACGAUGGGUAGCCGGCCUGAGAGGGUGUACGGCCACACUGGGACUGAGACACGGCCCAGACUCCUACGGGAGGCAGCAGUGGGGAAUAUUGCGCAAUGGGGGAAACCCUGACGCAGCGACGCCGCGUGAGCGAGGAAGGCCUUCGGGUCGUAAAGCUCUGUCCCCGGGGAAGAAGGAAUGACGGUACCUGGGGAGGAAGCCCCGGCUAACUACGUGCCAGCAGCCGCGGUAAUACGUAGGGGGCGAGCGUUGUCCGGAGUUACUGGGCGUAAAGGGUGCGUAGGCGGCCCAUUAAGUCAGGUGUGAAAAACCCUGGCUCAACCGGGGUAUUGCACUUGAAACUGGUGGGCUUGAGUGCAGGAGAGGGAAGUGGAAUUCCUGGUGUAGUGGUGAAAUGCGUAGAUAUCAGGAGGAACACCAGUGGCGAAGGCGGCUUCCUGGCCUGUAACUGACGCUGAGGCACGAAAGCGUGGGGAGCAAACA
RNAcentral lists this ribosomal RNA (749 nucleotides) under Caldicoprobacter sp. enrichment culture. Its description in RNAcentral is "bacterial SSU rRNA". It matches the Rfam family "Bacterial small subunit ribosomal RNA", at positions 28 to 774 of the family's 1533-position model. The record is from RNAcentral. Lineage: Bacteria; Bacillati; Bacillota; Clostridia; Caldicoprobacterales; Caldicoprobacteraceae.